AUUACAUACUCCUAUACAAUACAAUCGAUUUUCUCUUGAAUCGUUUCUCCUCCAAUGGUUUUUCUUAAGAAGCGGAACAUAUCAAAUGUAUGAGGAAUAUACCAACGCAUGUAUCCGUUGUAAAGAGUUAUGAUUUUAUUGAAUACACUAAUAUCUUUCUAUUACAUUUAUUGGUGUAUCUUAAUAAUAGGUAAUACAGUAUGCAUACAUUACGUAAUUAUUGACGUAAUUAUUAACUAUAACAUAAUCUUACGAUAACUUAAACACGAUUGUAUAACAUUUCUAGAUCUGGUCACAAUUUAUUACCGCAAAGCAGUUUUCUACAAAAGACUCAAGCAAUUUUUCCAACCUAGUACAUUUACAUGUAUGUUAUUUAACGCGUUCCAUGUACCAUUCCUUGCGUGUACCACACAAUUUUCGGUACACAUUGAAACUCAUUUUCAGGCCAAAUGAUAUUUUUAUCAUUGGUAGAUAAAGAACAAGGAAAUAAUUGUCGAUAUUACUAUUACAUGUUCUAUGAUAUAAUAUUUGUUAAGUUGAGUCAGGUUUAAUCAUUUACUCUAUUAAAAAAUAAAUUUUCAGCUCAAAAGUGAAAAA
This is a long non-coding RNA of Ooceraea biroi (clonal raider ant), 597 nucleotides long. RefSeq lists it as uncharacterized. The record is from RefSeq and is a predicted model, not a curated record. NCBI's taxonomy places the organism in Eukaryota, Metazoa, Arthropoda, Insecta, Hymenoptera, Formicidae.